Non-coding RNA from Electrophorus electricus (electric eel), 999 nucleotides. The record is from RefSeq and is a predicted model, not a curated record. Lineage: Eukaryota; Metazoa; Chordata; Actinopteri; Gymnotiformes; Gymnotidae.
CAAACGAAGGUCCUCCCACUGCACGUGGCUAACCAAACCGUGUGCUUCGCGGGAGGCGAGCGUUCCGUGACAGGCGGACGUUUUCUAUAUGGAUGAUCUUGAAGCCCUUAAUAUGUUGGUUCAUAUUUUUAAAGGGUGACACAGAAGUACAAGGACUUAUGGUGUCUUAGAAGAGGCACUUGUACCCCUGGUAAUGGCGAAAUUUCUUGGGCUAAUGUUCUUGGUCCUAACAGGAUUAGCAAUAUUUCUUGUAGACAUAAAUAUGAGCACAUCCUUUCCUCCACACAACCCCUCACGUCAACAGCAACAAUUACCCACAACCACUGCUGGAACAGAUAGCGACUCAAAGAUGGCCUCUACUUCCACACAGCCAACCUCAUUCAACAGUCUCACCAACAGUAUCAGUCAAGAAUGAACUCAACUCAGCACAUGACAGGUGGGGUCAGCACACGGCUCCUCCCAGCGACUGUGCACCAGAGGAGAUACCAAAAAAAACAGAACUUUGCGGAAACUUUGAGUUUUAUAGAUUUUGCAGUUAAAUUCACUUCAGUGUGAAGACGUGUCCUCAGUCCCCAGGCUCACACUGAUUCAUGGGCGUGUAGGCUACAUUAUUGUCUUUCUGACUUCUGUAUUCUACAGUGAUGACAUGAAGAGAUUCUGGGGGGCUGUGCUGCUGUAACUAAUGCUGAAGGAGUUAAUGAAAUAUUAAUACUUGAUCUUUGGUGAUCAUCUGUUUUGUUUUUUAUUCUUCUUUUUCUUCUUCGUCUUUUAAACCACUGCCAAAAUAGCAUUAUAUAGUGCAUUAGGUAACGUCACCAAGUUGUGAGAUUCAGCAUUAAUAAACCAUAAUAUGGUUCAAAUAUAAUGUUGACAAAGUAACACCAUUACUGGAUCACUGGCUUGCUUCAGUGAAUAAAAGGUUUUGUCCACCUUGUUAUCCACAUAUAUGCAUAAAUGCAUAUGAAUAUGAUAUAUACAGUAUAUUGUGCAUUGGGAUUU